AUUAGUUAUGACUUUACAAUUAUAAAUAAAAAAUGAUUCAAAAAAAUUAAAAUUAAUAAAUCUUGUAAAAAAUAUAAAACAUCGUAUAUUACGUUAUUGAAAUUGAUUAAUCGAGCUUGAACAAUGUCCCACGAGAGAUUUUUAAGUAAUUUUAAGACAAAAAGGCUGUAAAAUAUUGUUCUAAACAGAACCUACGUCCAAUUUGGUGCUGGCUUGGUCCACUUA
RNAcentral lists this long non-coding RNA (225 nucleotides) under Trifolium pratense (red clover). RNAcentral's name for it is "long non-coding RNA (TPRA_LNC004122)". The record is from RNAcentral. Lineage: Eukaryota; Viridiplantae; Streptophyta; Magnoliopsida; Fabales; Fabaceae.